UGUUGUCUGUGGUACUGGUUUUACUGCAGCUAUCUGUCUUCAUAAGUGGGUAUCUGGUAUUGACCAAUCCAUGUGUUCCGGCUGCCACCUUCCAUUUAAUUUCAAAAGGAAACGACACAAUUGUUACAAUUGUGGACUUGUUUUUUGCCAUUCUUGUAGUAUUAAAAAAUCGCUCAAGGCUGCGAUGGCACCAAAUCCCAACAAACCUUACCGUGUCUGUGAUCAAUGUUUUGGCAAACUUCGGAGGGCUAUUGAACCUGACUCCUCAUCACAUUCUGCUCUAAGUAGAAGAGGAAGUAUAAAUCAGAG
RNAcentral lists this unclassified non-coding RNA (309 nucleotides) under Hevea brasiliensis (rubber tree). The record is from RNAcentral. Lineage: Eukaryota; Viridiplantae; Streptophyta; Magnoliopsida; Malpighiales; Euphorbiaceae.